Molecule: ribosomal RNA, 1467 nt
Filed under: Triticum aestivum (bread wheat)
Lineage: Eukaryota; Viridiplantae; Streptophyta; Magnoliopsida; Poales; Poaceae
Description: partial small subunit ribosomal RNA
Source: RNAcentral
AUGGAAGAGUCAUUGCAAGGGUGGCGUGAUGUGAAGCGACUUAUCGGCCGGCGUUUCUGCGACAAGUCAGUUCAAGGAGAUCUCAAGACGUGGCCCUUCAAAGUUGUGUCAGGUCCCAGGGACCGGCCGAUGAUCGUGGUGCAGUACAAGGAUGAGGAGAAGCAGUUUGAGGCCGAGGAGAUCUCGGCAAUGAUUCUCAAAAAUAUGCGGGAGACCGCCGUGGCCUACCUCGGCACGGAGGUGAAGAAUGCGGUCAUUACCGUCCCAGUCUACUUCACCGAUUCACAGCGCCAAGCUACCAUUGACGCCGGCACCAUUGCUGGCCUCAAUGUCCUGCGCAUUAUCAAUGAGCCCUCUGCCGCCGCGGUCGCCUAUGGGUUCGGCAAGAUGACCGACAGUGAGGAAGUUAAGACUGCGCUCGUGUUUGAUCUUGGUGGUGGUACCUUGGACGUCUCUAUUGUCAACAUCGAUCCCGGUGCAGACAUCGACAUGGCCGUCUUCAAGGUCAUGGCUACGGCCGGUGACACCCACCUCGGUGGCGAGGAUUUCAACAGCCUCAUGGUGAAACACUUCGUGCGGGAGUUUCUUAAGAAGUACAAGACGGAUGACAUCAGGAAGAACCCAAAGGCGCUUCGACGUCUUAGGACGGCAUGUGAGAAGGCCAAGAGGAUGCUCUCCAUCACGUCGCAGGCUACCGUUGAGAUUGAGUCUCUCCACGACGGCAUCGACUUCUACGGGGCCAUCAGCCGCGCAAAGUUCGAGCAGCUCAACAUGGACCUCUUCCGCAAGUGCAUCGAACACGUCAAGAAAUGCCUCGGUGAUGCCGAUAUGGACAAGUCCCAGAUCCACGACGUCGUGCUCGUGGGUGGCUCCACCCGGAUCCCCAAAGUUCGACAGCUGCUCCGGGAGUUCUUCGAUGGCAAAGAGCUCUGCACGAGUAUCAACCCCGAUGAGGCCGUCGCCUACGGUGCCGCUGUACAGGCCUCCACCCUUAGCGGCGACGACAAUGAAGUGCGGGAUGUACUCCUGCUUGAGGUCACACCGCUCUCACUUGGGGUGGAGACGGUAGGUCGUGUCAUGAGCGUGCUGAUACCCAGGAACAGCACCAUCCCUGUCAAGAAGGAGGACAUUUACUCGACCUGCUCCGACAACCAGACCAAUGUACUCAUCCAGGUGUACCAGGGCGAGGGCGAAGGAACCAAGGACAACAUCCUCCUCGGCAAGUUCACUCUCGGUGGCAUCCCCCGUGCGCCCAGGGGAAAGCCAAAGAUCAACGUCACCUUUGAAAUUGAUGCAGACAGCAUUCUUAAGGUAACGGCGGAAGACAUGAGUACGCCAAACAAGAAGAACGUCACUAUCACCACUGACAAGGGGCGGCUGACCGCGGAGGAGAUCAAGCGUAUGGUGCGUGAUGCCAACAGGUACAAUUCAGAGGACAAUGAGGAAACGGAGGAAAAAUUUUUUUAA